This 253-nucleotide ribosomal RNA is filed under the name uncultured bacterium. RNAcentral's name for it is "partial 16S ribosomal RNA". It matches the Rfam family "Bacterial small subunit ribosomal RNA", at positions 524 to 776 of the family's 1533-position model. The record is from RNAcentral.
UACGUAGGGGGCUAGCGUUGUCCGGAAUCAUUGGGCGUAAAGCGCGUGUAGGCGGUCCGGUAAGUCCGCUGUGAAAGCCCGGGGCUCAACCUCGGAAUUGCCUUCAAUACUGGCUGCCUUGAGUGUGAGAGAGGUGUGUGGAACUCCGAGUGUAGAGGUGAAAUUCGUAGAUAUUCGGAAGAACACCAGUGGCGAAGGCGACACACUGGCUCACUACUGACGCUGAGGCGCGAAAGCGUGGGGAGCAAACAGG